This is a long non-coding RNA of Zea mays, 590 nucleotides long. RefSeq lists it as uncharacterized. The transcript is spliced from 5 exons. The record is from RefSeq and is a predicted model, not a curated record. Lineage: Eukaryota; Viridiplantae; Streptophyta; Magnoliopsida; Poales; Poaceae.
UGUAACAUAAUAUGUCUCAUAUGUUUAUCUACAUCUUGUGACAGUUGCUGGUGAAUAAUAGGACAGCAAGCGCCAGUGAAAUAGUUGCUUCAGCACUUCAUGACAAUUGCAAAGCUGUUCUUGUUGGCGAAAGGACUUUUGGCAAGGGUUUAAUCCAAUCUGUAUUUGAACUUCAUGAUGGUUCUGGUAUUGUCGUCACAGUUGGCAAAUACAUGACACCAAACCACAAGGAUAUCAAUGGGAAUGGAAUAGAACCGGAUUACAAUCGUCUUCCUGAUUUCAAUGAAGCCAGAGGUUACCUUUCACGAUGCGGAAUUAAAGAAUUAAGCUGACAGACGUUUGCGGCAGAUUUCAAUGAAGCAUUAUAUUCUGAAGGUUCUCUCACGGGCCAGACGACCUAAUAUGAUAGAAUUGAUAUGGAACAAAUAAAGCUGAUGAUCUGCCUGACUACUACACGACCCUCCAUGUCGCGCGCGCUGAUACGAUAAGCAGCGUAUCGGCGAGCGUCGAUACAGCCUCUACAGCACAGGGCGAGCAUGUUGCUGGUGGCCUCUGCGGCAUGGUGCAAGAAAUAGAGUACACGUGGCGCU